UGGGCAACCUGCCCCCGACCCUGGGAUAACCCCGGGAAAACCGGAGCUAAUACCGGAUACUCUCCUCUGACCACCUGGUCGGAUGAGGAAAGGUCCGCCGGUCGGGGAUGGGCCCGCGGCCCUAUCAGCUCGUUGGUGGGGUAACGGCCUACCAAGGCGACGACGGGUAGCUGGUCUGAGAGGACGACCAGCCACACUGGAACUGAGAUACGGUCCAGACUCCUACGGGAGGCA
This 234-nucleotide ribosomal RNA is filed under the name uncultured bacterium. RNAcentral's name for it is "partial 16S ribosomal RNA". It matches the Rfam family "Bacterial small subunit ribosomal RNA", at positions 118 to 350 of the family's 1533-position model. The record is from RNAcentral.